GAACUCUUCGGAGUUAGUGGCGGACGGGUGAGUAACACGUGGGAACGUGCCUUUAGGUUCGGAAUAGCUCCUGGAAACGGGUGGUAAUGCCGAAUGUGCCCUUCGGGGGAAAGAUUUAUCGCCUUUAGAGCGGCCCGCGUCUGAUUAGCUUGUUGGUGAGGUAAUGGCUCACCAAGGCUACGAUCAGUAGCUGGUCUGAGAGGAUGACCAGCCACAUUGGGACUGAGACACGGCCCAAACUCCUACGGGAGGCAGCAGUGGGGAAUCUUGCGCAAUGGGCGAAAGCCUGACGCAGCCAUGCCGCGUGUAUGAUGAAGGUCUUAGGAUUGUAAAAUACUUUCACCGGUGAAGAUAAUGACUGUAGCCGGAGAAGAAGCCCCGGCUAACUUCGUGCCAGCAGCCGCGGUAAUACGAAGGGGGCUAGCGUUGCUCGGAAUUACUGGGCGUAAAGGGAGCGUAGGCGGACAUUUAAGUCAGAGGUGAAAUCCCGGAGCUUAACUUCGGAACUGCCUUUGAUACUGGGUGUCUUGAGUGUGAGAGAGGUAUGUGGAACUCCGAGUGUAGAGGUGAAAUUCGUAGAUAUUCGGAAGAACACCAGUGGCGAAGGCGACAUACUGGCUCAUUACUGACGCUGAGGCUCGAAAGCGUGGGGAGCAAACAGGAUUAGAUACCCUGGUAGUCCACGCCGUAAACGAUGAUUGCUAGUUGUCGGGAAGCUUGCUUCUCGGUGACGCAGCUAACGCAUUAAGCAAUCCGCCUG
RNAcentral lists this ribosomal RNA (760 nucleotides) under uncultured Pseudomonadota bacterium. RNAcentral describes it as "bacterial SSU rRNA". It matches the Rfam family "Bacterial small subunit ribosomal RNA", at positions 68 to 875 of the family's 1533-position model. Lineage: Bacteria; Pseudomonadati; Pseudomonadota. The record is from RNAcentral.